UACGUGCAGGAGAAACUAAGCUCAACCAAAGGAGGAAACUGAAAAAAACCCAGAAGGAUAUUAAUCAGACAAGACAUGAGUAACCUGAAGAAGAGCACUCUUUGUACUGACAAAGUGGAAAUGGCAUCUAUCCAAACAAACUGGCUCAAUGAGCCUUGGCUUUGAUGACCUUCUGCCUUGUUGGCCUUCUGGUUUAAUUGUGAGCAAAGAAAGGACUAGCUGCCCUGACACAGCUCCGAUUGCAUUGCUCAGAGAAAGGGAGAGGCAUGGUGGAGAGAGAGAUUUCAUUAUUUACAGACCAAGGAACUGAGAAGAAAAUAGAGAGUAAAGGAGCCAUUUGGUCCACCUUUACAUCUGCCUGGGGCUUUGAUGACAGCCAUCAGCAGGUGCAGCAAGGGCAGCUGCAGAUGAGAUUCCUUCACAAGAGCAAGCGUGAGAUGAAAGAUGUUAUUUAGCAGGAAAAAGAGAUUAAUUUGUCUUGAUUUCUACUUAUGUGCUGACGAUCACCACUGACAUACUCAAAAUGGAUUUUUUGCAUCCUGUGAGUCGGUGGUGCUGGCUCAGCCUGGUAGGUAGACUUCAAAAUACCCCUGCCCCAUUUGCAAAUGCUUAAGAAAUUUGAUGAAUUUUAGUGCAUACAUGGUGAAGUUUCCAAUGAGUUAGAAGUCAACAUGAUAUUUUAAAAAAAUUUCACUGCUUUGGAGAACAUCAGACUUUGGUUCAUCCUGAGACACUCAUUUGCC
Cyanistes caeruleus (blue tit) is the source of this 743-nucleotide non-coding RNA. NCBI's taxonomy places the organism in Eukaryota, Metazoa, Chordata, Aves, Passeriformes, Paridae. The record is from RefSeq and is a predicted model, not a curated record.